This 1420-nucleotide long non-coding RNA is filed under the name Nicotiana tabacum (common tobacco). RNAcentral's name for it is "long non-coding RNA (NTAB_LNC018156)". Lineage: Eukaryota; Viridiplantae; Streptophyta; Magnoliopsida; Solanales; Solanaceae. The record is from RNAcentral.
UGGAAUUUUCUUGGUUCUAUUUAAAGUCGGGGCCCUUCUAUUUUGGGUCAUUUUUAACCAUAGCGGAACCUAUACAACCCCUAAACUCUCUCUAAACAUUCCCCAGGAUUCAAGAGUGAAUCUAAGGCCAAACUACCCAAGUCUAUCAUCAAAAGUCUCAUUAAACUAGCGGGGAGUGCUUCUAUAGCAUUGCUGUUGUGUUGAGGAUUCCUUUAAGUUAAAUAAAUAUUUGGUUGAAGGUUAUUGUUUCUGUUUGAGGUAAUUAUUUUCCUCUUCUACAUGGAUUUGAGUUCAUACAAGUUGUAGCUAGAUUGUUUGGCUGAGAACUUGUGAAAUAAAUAUCGGAAAUCGUAUAUGAUGUAGUUGUGAGUUGUUGGACUGUUUUGAAGUUGUUCUAAGUUAAUUUGUUGCUUGUUUUCGAGAUUUAAGGUAAUACUAUCUAUAUUAUUCAUGUGUAUGAUUUAGUUGAGGUUCUGGUUUUGUUUAAUUAUUGAGAAGAUACGAUAUGUCGGCUAGAAGUCGUAAACUAGUUGUUGUGCUAUGUUAUUGGGGCUGUUCUUGUUGUGUUGAUUUGCUUGACAUGUGGUAUAUUUGAAUUCAUGUAUUUUUAAUGUUGUUACCAGGGUGAUAAGGGAGAUAUGCUUGAAUAAUUGCCGUAGAAACAGUGUAAAGCAAGCUUGUUGCUCAUUAGUUAGUUAGGAUGUUUCUCUUAUUGAUAUUAGUAUUGUUUUAUUUGUUGUGUGACAUGUUGGGACUAGUUUUGUGGUGUGGAGGUGGUGGAGAUAUUUAUUUAUUUGUAUUUAUGUGCUAUUGAUGGUUUUAUGAGGAUUAUACGGGAGUUAGGUGAAGAUAUAUGUAGUAGAAUCAUGUAUAGAGCGGAUUGCCGUCUGUCGGUUAGGUGUUAUGUUUCUCUUCAUUAAUAGUAAUAUUUUUCUUAUGUAGCAUGAUUUGUGGAGAAUUAUGGUUCCGCCAGUUCCAUGGAAAGGUUGACUUAGAGGUAUGUAAGGUUAUUAGAUAUCCUCUUCCUUAGCAUGAAUCUAUAGUAGGUCUCCCUCAAGAAGUGAGUUCCAAAAUGAAAUGCUUAUAAAUGUUAUACUCGUGUAUUAAUCAUCUUUCUAUAUUCUUAAUUCAUGUCGCCCUGAUAGAAUGUGUUUCAUAUAGCUCUUCACAACCCAUGAUCUUUUUCAGAGAGUGUAAUUGAGCUGUAACGUUUCCCUCGUAAAAACCUCCUUGGUAUAACGACUAUUAAUGCGAGUUAUUCUACCCAUGUGCUAGCUAGAUGCAUACGUUCCUUAUUUGAGGUUUCCCCAAUGUCAUGAGUUCCAUAUGUACAGUAGUAAUCCCUUGUUUUUUUUUUUUUUUCUGAAAGUGCAUAUGAACCACGACGGCUCCCUCGUACAUAUAUAAAACCGACCACCGC